RNAcentral lists this long non-coding RNA (2078 nucleotides) under Homo sapiens (human). RNAcentral's name for it is "HSALNT0369302". The record is from RNAcentral. Lineage: Eukaryota; Metazoa; Chordata; Mammalia; Primates; Hominidae.
AGAUGCACCUACUGUGGGCCCCUAAACACUCCACCCUGCCAGCCUUUCCAAUCCCCCUACUCCAAAAGGGAACAAAGGAGCCAAAGAACUCCUCGGCGGGGGUGGCCAGGAGUCCCCGACAGCCCGAGCUCAGAACGUGGCAAUAAGGGUGCGCAGUCGCCCUGAGGGGUGCGAACCCAGCACCCCAACCUCAGGAAUGGAGCAACACUCACCCGUGCGGAGCUCCCAGGGAGGCGGGACGCAAGGAGCCGGUUCCUCCGAGGUCGCCGCGGCGCCGGGGUCCGAGGCCCCGUAAGCGUCUAGUCAGACCCCAACUUCUCUCGGCCGCUGUCGUCGGCGGCAGCUGGGGCGCGAGCCUGGACGAAGGGCGCUGCCCAGCGGCCGCGGAGGCACUGCCGGCUCAGCCCCCGAGCGGGGCGGGAACUUUCGGCCCCGAGGUCCACCAGCCCGGGCGGACCCCCACCUUCCCUCAGUCGGCUUGCUACCGGCAGCGGCUACUGCGGCGUCCAAAGCUAACACUACAGCCGCCGCCUGGCCAGGAGCGCGUCGCGGCCUAAUGUUGUCAUCCGCCGCGUCGCCGCCUUUCUGGGCACCCAGAACCGCGAAGAUCCUUCACAUUCUAGUGCCCUCCCCCUGCCCCGCCCGCCCCCCGGAUCACGGGCUUCGGCCACGCCCUCUUCCCGUCACGUGACGGUGCGCGGAGGCGGUGGUGGAGUUGCUUCCCCUGCUAGGCGGGCUCGAACCGGGCGGGAGUCACUGUCCACCUUGCUUCGCCAGGGUGUUAUCGCCAGCCAGUCCCCUUCCGCAUGCCCAAGGGCAGCCUCAGGAAGCGAGCCCACCACCGUCGGCCCAGCGCCUGUUGAUCGGCCAGGCCUUCUGGGCCGGUCAUACUGGGCCCUUCCUAACCUGAGGAGAUUGCACAGUAGGGCUCCCUGGUCUGGUCAGGGCUCAGUUAGGACCCCUCUCCAGCCUUAGGCUUGGUGAAAGCUUUAGCGAAACAGAAAAAAGAACGCAUCGUGGUGUAGAGUGUAUGGCCUAAGAAGCAUUCGCUCCACUCAAAAAAAAGAAAGUCCUAAUGCAAGUAAUUGAAAGUGAAGAUAUUGCAAAACAAAUAAUGACAGCUGAAUUGAUGAUAUGAUGACAGGCUCAUCCCUCCAUUGUAAACUAUGACAAGGGUCAUAGCUCACUGCAGCCUUGAACUCCUGACCUCAAGCAAUCCUCCCGCCUUGGCCUCCUAAAGCAUUGGGAUUACAGGUGUGAGCCACUGUACUGGACCAGAAUCUGCAUUUUUAACAGGAGUUCCAGGUGAUUCUUAUGCAUAUUAACAUUUGAGAUGUUCAGUUAUCGAAAAUAAUUUUUAAAAUGUUUGUUUGGAAAUUAACUUUAAAAUGACACUUUGGCUUUUUCUUUUGGACAAAAUUGUAUGAUAGUGUGAUACAACAUUGUUUACCACUUCAUGUCUGACUUUUAUAGUACUGUCAUAACUUUUACAACAAAAAUAAUUUGAGGGUUUUAUUGUUUUCCAAAGGGCUUUAUCUUUGAUAAUCAAAUCAUUCUCUUUUGAAGUGCCUAAUCAUCAUCUCUGUUUAUUUUAUCUUAGUACAUGCUCAUCAGGCCUAACUUCCUCAUUUGUCAAUGGCUUUUAUGUGAUCCAGUAGUUUUCCAACAUUAGUUCACUUAUUUCAUCAAACACAUAUUAUUUUUCAAAGCUCACAAUCCACUUAGAGUCAAUUUCCAUUACACUUGUGGAUAUUCAUAUGCAACAUUCAGGAAAGAGCUGACUGACAAGCACAUUGACAGGAUGGGUGGGGAGGGAAGCCAGUGUUAAGCUGGAGGAUGUUUGGGUGGGGAUAAAUUUGAUAAGUGGCCAGGUUGUUAGUGAACAUGUCUAUAAUAGGAUGACUAUUGCUGUCUUGGGUAACAUGAUAACUGGGCAGGCAGGCAAAUAAAAUCCAGAUAACAAUAACCUAAAAGUGAAGAUGAUUAUCUCUGGGCAGUAAAAGUCCAGGCAAUUUUUAUUUCCUUCAUUGUGCUUAUCUGUAAUUUCUAAAUUUUCUAGAAUGAAUGCAUGUUAUUUU